AAAUGCGAUAAGUAAUGUGAAUUGCAGAAUUCAGUGAAUCAUCGAAUCUUUGAACGCACCUUGCGCUCCUUGGUAUUCCUUGGAGCAUGCCUGUUUGAGUAUCAUGAAAUCUUCAAAGUAAAUCUUUUGUUAACUCAAUUGGUUUCUACUUUGGUAUUGGAGGUCUUUGCAGCUUCACACCUGCUCCUCUUUGUUCAUUAGCUGGAUCUCAGUGUUAUGCUUGGUUCCACUCGGCGUGAUAAGUUAUCUAUCGCUGAGGACACUGUAAAAGGUGGCCAAGGUAAAUGCAGAUGAACCGCUUCUAAUAGUCCAUUGACUUGGACAAUACUUUUAUGAUCUGAUCUCAAAUCAGGUAGGACUACCCGCCGAACUUAAGC
Molecule: unclassified non-coding RNA, 377 nt
Filed under: plant metagenome
Description: partial contains 5.8S ribosomal RNA, internal transcribed spacer 2, and large subunit ribosomal RNA
Rfam family: 5.8S ribosomal RNA (bases 1-104)
Source: RNAcentral